This is a long non-coding RNA of Ornithorhynchus anatinus (platypus), 731 nucleotides long. RefSeq lists it as uncharacterized. NCBI's taxonomy places the organism in Eukaryota, Metazoa, Chordata, Mammalia, Monotremata, Ornithorhynchidae. The record is from RefSeq and is a predicted model, not a curated record. The transcript is spliced from 2 exons.
CCCAGGCCCGUGCUCUAUCCACUACUCCAUGCUCCUUCUCUAGUAAAUAAACUCUAAGAUGAUAUAAUCUAGAUUUAUCUUUCUAAAGAUUUUCUAAUAAAUCCUCAUAUGAAAUUUCAAUUUUGUGAGAGAAGCUGCUAAUGAAUAGAGAAUAUUCUUUUAGGGGUUUUCAUUUGAAUGUGCUCUUUAGCAUGCAAAGAUGAUCUGUUCAAUUAACAGUAUGUUUUGUAUUCACUCUUAUUUUUAUAGGCAUUCCACUUAAAACGAGCCUAAAUUACACUACAACAGUUCAAUAUGGAAGGCAUCUUCAUCACCUUAUAGAACUAGCAGGAUACGCUGUGAAAGAAUUUAAUCCUCAAGAUGCCCUAACUCUUCUGAGGAUUAGAACAGAGAAAUAUGAAAUCUUGGUGAUCCCAGCUAAGGAAUAUCUUCUUGCCGUUCUUCAGGAUCCAUAUGAAUAGACCUUCUGCAGUAUUAAUCUUGCAUUCAUGAAACUAUACUUUGAAAAAGGCUCAGGUUUUCAUUGUGGGCCUUACUGUUACUGAAUUUACCAGUAUAUUGAGCUUGUUUUUACUAAAACACUCUCUAGCACAGCUUCUUAGAUUUUGUUUCUGGUUGUAUUUUAGAACUGUGCUUUAGCAAGAUAUCAUACACAGAUCAAAAUCUGAUGUGAGUCCCCAAGCUUAAUGACUAAUGUAAUAAAAAUGAAUCUGUGCAAGAUGCUCCCCGAA